GCCCAGACUCCUACGGGAGGCAGCAGUGGGGAAUAUUGGGCAAUGGGCGCAAGCCUGACCCAGCAACGCCGCGUGAAGGAAGAAGGCUUUCGGGUUGUAAACUUCUUUUGACAGGGAAGAGUAGAAGACGGUACCUGUCGAAUAAGCCACGGCUAACUACGUGCCAGCAGCCGCGGUAAUACGUAGGGGGCAAGCGUUAUCCGGAUUUACUGGGUGUAAAGGGUGCGCAGGCGGAAGAUCAAGUCAGCGGUAAAAUUGAGGGGCUCAACCUCUUCGAGCCGUUGAAACUGGUUUUCUUGAGUGAGCGAGAAGUAUGCGGAAUGCGUGGUGUAGCGGUGAAAUGCAUAGAUAUCACGCAGAACUCCGAUUGCGAAGGCAGCAUACCGGCGCUCAACUGACGCUCAUGCACGAAAGUGUGGGUAUCGAACAGGAUUAGAUACCCCAGUA
This 447-nucleotide ribosomal RNA is filed under the name uncultured bacterium. Its description in RNAcentral is "bacterial SSU rRNA". It matches the Rfam family "Bacterial small subunit ribosomal RNA", at positions 329 to 792 of the family's 1533-position model. The record is from RNAcentral.